CGUGUAGGCGGCCUCUUAAGUCUGGUGUGAAAGCCCGGGGCUUACCCCCGGAAGGGCACUGGAAACUGGGAGGCUGGAGUACCGGAGAGGAGGGUGGAAUUCCUGGUGUAGCGGUGAAAUGCGUAGAUAUCAGGAGGAACACCGGUGGCGAAGGCGGCCCUCUGGACGGAUACUGACGCUGAGACGCGAAAGCGUGGGGAGCAAACAGGAUUAGAUACCCUGGUAGUCCACGCUGUAAACGAUAGGCACUAGGUGUUCGGGGUAUUGACCCCCUGAGUGCCGCAGCUAACGCAUUAAGUGCCCCGCCUGGGGACUACGGCCGCAAGGUUAAA
Molecule: ribosomal RNA, 332 nt
Filed under: uncultured bacterium
Lineage: Bacteria
Description: bacterial SSU rRNA
Rfam family: Bacterial small subunit ribosomal RNA
Source: RNAcentral